CGGACGGGUGAGUAACGCGUGGGUAACCUGCCUUGUACUGGGGGACAACAGUUAGAAAUGACUGCUAAUACCGCAUAAGCGCACAGCAUCGCAUGAUACGGUGUGAAAAACUCCGGUGGUACAAGAUGGACCCGCGUCUGAUUAGCUAGUUGGUAAGGUAACGGCUUACCAAGGCGACGAUCAGUAGCCGACCUGAGAGGGUGACCGGCCACAUUGGGACUGAGACACGGCCCAA
Molecule: ribosomal RNA, 235 nt
Filed under: uncultured bacterium
Lineage: Bacteria
Description: partial 16S ribosomal RNA
Rfam family: Bacterial small subunit ribosomal RNA
Source: RNAcentral